Molecule: non-coding RNA, 87 nt
Organism: Ceratobasidium sp. AG-I
Lineage: Eukaryota; Fungi; Basidiomycota; Agaricomycetes; Cantharellales; Ceratobasidiaceae
Source: the annotation of a GenBank genome assembly
GGUUGCAUAGUCUAGUGGUUAUGAUAUCUGCUUUACAUUGCUCGCGCAGUUCGCAGAGGGUCUCAGGUUCGAUCCCUGAUGCAGCCA